RNAcentral lists this ribosomal RNA (320 nucleotides) under uncultured eukaryote. Its description in RNAcentral is "partial 18S ribosomal RNA". It matches the Rfam family "Eukaryotic small subunit ribosomal RNA", at positions 1470 to 1796 of the family's 1831-position model. The record is from RNAcentral.
CCCUUAGAUGUCCUGGGCUGCACGCGCGCUACACUGAUGUGUCCAGUAAGCACCUAACCUCUUCCGAAAGGAACGGGUAACCUUUGCAAAGCACAUCGUGAUGGGGAUAGAAUAUUGUAAUUAUUACUCUUCAACGAGGAAUUCCUAGUAAGCGCCAGUCAGCAGCUUGCGCUGAUUACGUCCCUGCCCUUUGUACACACCGCCCGUCGCUCCUACCGAUGGGUGAUCCGGUGAAUGAUUCGGACUUCAGCGGCUCCCCUGGGGUGCGCCGGAGAAAGUUUUGUGAACCUUAUCACUUGGAGGAAGGAGAAGUCGUAACA